CCUACGGGUGGCAGCAGUGGGGAAUAUUGGACAAUGGGCGAAAGCCUGAUCCAGCCAUGCCGCGUGUGUGAAGAAGGCCUUCGGGUUGUAAAGCACUUUCAGUGGGGAAGAAAGCCUUGAGGCUAAUACCCUCGAGGAAGGACAUCACCCACAGAAGAAGCACCGGCUAACUCCGUGCCAGCAGCCGCGGUAAUACGGAGGGUGCGAGCGUUAAUCGGAAUUACUGGGCGUAAAGCGCGCGUAGGCGGUCUGAUAAGCCGGUUGUGAAAGCCCCGGGCUCAACCUGGGAACGGCAUCCGGAACUGUCAGGCUAGAGUGCAGGAGAGGAAGGUAGAAUUCCCGGUGUAGCGGUGAAAUGCGUAGAGAUCGGGAGGAAUACCAGUGGCGAAGGCGGCCUUCUGGACUGACACUGACGCUGAGGUGCGAAAGCGUGGGUAGCAAACAGGAUUAGAUACCACGGUAGUC
This 465-nucleotide ribosomal RNA is filed under the name Vreelandella stevensii. Its description in RNAcentral is "partial 16S ribosomal RNA". It matches the Rfam family "Bacterial small subunit ribosomal RNA", at positions 338 to 795 of the family's 1533-position model. The record is from RNAcentral. Lineage: Bacteria; Pseudomonadati; Pseudomonadota; Gammaproteobacteria; Oceanospirillales; Halomonadaceae.